CCUCCUCUGAAAAAAGACGGUAAGCCGUUCGAAAUUCUGGUAACGAUUCCCCGUAGUUAAGCAAACUUAAACCAUAGUGGUGUCAAACGGGUCCGCUUCCAUCGGAAAAGAUUCCUCCGGAAAAAGGCUUAUGCAGGCAUUUCACGUAUGCUCCUAUAAAUUCCUGGUAGGGAUAGUCUAUUGUAACUGGUAGACUUGUCAACUAGGAAUGCCUUGUACGGGUGGGGUAGCACAUUCCACCCGGGAUACGUCCCUGCCUUUUGUACACACCGCCCGUCGCUCUUACCAAUUGAACAGCACUACGAGUUUAAAGGCCCGAGAAA
RNAcentral lists this ribosomal RNA (323 nucleotides) under Globigerinoides sacculifer. Its description in RNAcentral is "partial 18S ribosomal RNA". It matches the Rfam family "Eukaryotic small subunit ribosomal RNA", at positions 1497 to 1722 of the family's 1831-position model. Lineage: Eukaryota; Foraminifera; Rotaliida; Globigerinidae. The record is from RNAcentral.